Molecule: ribosomal RNA, 492 nt
Filed under: uncultured bacterium
Lineage: Bacteria
Description: partial 16S ribosomal RNA
Rfam family: Bacterial small subunit ribosomal RNA
Source: RNAcentral
AGUGAACGCUGGCGGUAGGCCUAACACAUGCAAGUCGAACGGCAGCACAGUAAGAGCUUGCUCUUACGGGUGGCGAGUGGCGGACGGGUGAGGAAUACAUCGGAAUCUACUUUUUCGUGGGGGAUAACGUAGGGAAACUUACGCUAAUACCGCAUACGACCUACGGGUGAACGCAGGGGAUCUUCGGACCUUGCGCGAUUGAAUGAGCCGAUGUCGGAUUAGCUAGUUGGCGGGGUAAAGGCCCACCAAGGCGACGAUCCGUAGCUGGUCUGAGAGGAUGAGCAGCCACACUGGAACGGAGACACGGUCCAGACUCCUACGGGAGGCAGCAGUGGGGAAUAUUGGACAAUGGGCGCAAGCCUGAUCCAGACAUGCCGCGUGGGUGAAGAAGGCCUUCGGGUUGUAAAGCCAUUUUGUUGGGAAAGAAAAGCAGCAGGUUAAUACCCCGCGGUUCUGACGGUACCCAAAGAAUAAGCACCGGCUAACUUCGUG